GCAUAAUCAUUUGCCUUUUAAUUAAAGGCUAGUAUGAACGGAUAAACGAAAAUAAAACUGUCUCUUUUAAAUACCUAAAAAUUAAUUUUUUUGUGAAAAAGCAAAAAUAUCAAUAAAAGACAAAAAGACCCUAUAGAACUUUAUUGAAUCUAUUUUAUUACCCUUCAUAACCUAAUAAAAUAGCCACUGUUUAGUUGGGGCGACUUAGGAAUAAAUCCAUCUUCCUUAUAUAAAUUCAGCAUAUCCGCCUACACCAAUGACCCAUUAUAUGAUCAUAAGAAUAGUUACCUUAGGGAUAACAGACUAAUUUCCCUUAAGAGUCCAUAUUGACAGGGAAGUUUGGCACCUCGAUGUUGGCUUAGAUACCCCUAAAAGUGCAGACGCUUUUAACGGCAGGCUUGUUCAUCCUUUAAUUAUCU
This 419-nucleotide ribosomal RNA is filed under the name Flabelligena sp. 5 PB. RNAcentral's name for it is "partial 16S ribosomal RNA". It matches the Rfam family "Bacterial large subunit ribosomal RNA", at positions 1959 to 2597 of the family's 2925-position model. Lineage: Eukaryota; Metazoa; Annelida; Polychaeta; Terebellida; Acrocirridae. The record is from RNAcentral.